UGCCAGCCGCCGCGGUAAUACGGAGGGGGUUAGCGUUGUUCGGAAUUACUGGGCUUAAAGAGCUCGUAGGUGGUUAAAAAAGUUGAUGGUGAAAUCCCAAGGCUCAACCUUGGAACUGCCAUCAAAACUUUUUAGCUAGAGUAUGAUAGAGGAAAGUGGAAUUUCUAGUGUAGAGGUGAAAUUCGUAGAUAUUAGAAAGAACACCAAAUGCGAAGGCAACUUUCUGGAUCAUUACUGACACUGAGGAACGAAAGCAUGGGUAGCGAAGAGGAUUAGAUA
Molecule: ribosomal RNA, 279 nt
Filed under: uncultured bacterium
Lineage: Bacteria
Description: partial 16S ribosomal RNA
Rfam family: Bacterial small subunit ribosomal RNA
Source: RNAcentral